RNAcentral lists this ribosomal RNA (840 nucleotides) under uncultured Cantharellales. Its description in RNAcentral is "LSU rRNA". It matches the Rfam family "Eukaryotic large subunit ribosomal RNA", at positions 38 to 930 of the family's 3401-position model. The record is from RNAcentral. Lineage: Eukaryota; Fungi; Basidiomycota; Agaricomycetes; Cantharellales.
GCAUAUCAAUAAAGCGGAGGAAAAGAAACUAACAAGGAUUCCCCCAGUAACUGCGAGUGAAGAGGGAUUAGCUCAAUGUGUGAAUUGGGAUGGGAUUAGCCCCCGUCUCGAGUUGUGCACUAUAGACGCCGGAUCAGCGCUUGAAGGAUCGAGGUGGAUGUCCGAUGAAACUCGGUGCCAUAGAGGGUCAUAGUCCUGUACUUGCCUUGUCAUCCUUUGCGCAUUUGACCGGUGUUCUGCGAGUCGCGUAGUUUUGUAUUGCUGCGCUAAGUGGGAGGUAGAGCCCUUCUAAAGCUAAAUAUGGCGACGUGACCGAUAGCACACAAGUACCGCGAGGGAAAGGUGAAAAGCAACCAUGCAGAAUGGGUUGAAACAGCAGUGAAAGCGCUACUGGGAUAAGGGCUGGGGAUUGCUUGUGUCGCUUGCGCGUGCUUUAGUGCUGUGCUUGCGAACGGCGUGCUUCCAUUCGGAUGGGGAGAACAGGGCCUCGGGAAUUCAGCUGGAUCCGUCCAGUGUUGCAGCCCGGGUGCCAGUGGAGCCUCUCCGGAUGUUUGAGCGUCUUGCGAUUGUCAGCCGCCCGUCUUGAAACACGGACCAAGGAGUGCACCUUGCAUGCGAGUCGAAGGGACUGUAAUCCUGGAGGCGUAGCGAAAGCGAAGGCCACGAACCCUCACGGCGUCGGUGGCACCCGCCCUGUGCGAGGUAGAGCAUGUAGGGUGCGACCCGAAAGAUGGUGAACUAUGCCCGGGUAAGGUGAAGACCAGUGGAAACGCUGGUGGAGGCCUGUAGCGGUUCUGACGNGCAGAUCGAUCGUGUAACCCUGGGUAUAGGGGCGAAAGA